AGUAACACGUGGAUAACCUGCCUUAUACUGGGGGAUAACAGCCAGAAAUGGCUGCUAAUACCGCAUAAGCGCACGGCGCCGCAUGGCGCAGCGUGAAAAACUCCGGUGGUAUAAGAUGGAUCCGCGCCUGAUUAGCUAGUUGGCGGGGCAGCGGCCCACCAAGGCGACGAUCAGUAGCCGGCCUGAGAGGGCGACCGGCCACAUUGGGACUGAGACACGGCCCAAACUCCUACGGGAGGCAGCAG
RNAcentral lists this ribosomal RNA (245 nucleotides) under uncultured bacterium. RNAcentral's name for it is "partial 16S ribosomal RNA". It matches the Rfam family "Bacterial small subunit ribosomal RNA", at positions 109 to 354 of the family's 1533-position model. The record is from RNAcentral.